GGUGGCUCAGUGGUAGAGCGCUUGCCUAGCAUGCAAGAGGCCCUGGGUUCGAUUCCUCAGCACCA
Molecule: transfer RNA, 65 nt
Filed under: Dipodomys ordii (Ord's kangaroo rat)
Lineage: Eukaryota; Metazoa; Chordata; Mammalia; Rodentia; Heteromyidae
Rfam family: tRNA
About the family: Transfer RNA (tRNA) molecules are approximately 80 nucleotides in length. Their secondary structure includes four short double-helical elements and three loops (D, anti-codon, and T loops). Further hydrogen bonds mediate the characteristic L-shaped molecular structure. tRNAs have two regions of fundamental functional importance: the anti-codon, which is responsible for specific mRNA codon recognition, and the 3' end, to which the tRNAs corresponding amino acid is attached (by aminoacyl-tRNA synthetases). tRNAs cope with the degeneracy of the genetic code in two manners: having more than one tRNA (with a specific anti-codon) for a particular amino acid; and 'wobble' base-pairing, i.e. permitting non-standard base-pairing at the 3rd anti-codon position.
Source: Rfam by way of RNAcentral